RNAcentral lists this ribosomal RNA (254 nucleotides) under uncultured bacterium. RNAcentral's name for it is "partial 16S ribosomal RNA". It matches the Rfam family "Bacterial small subunit ribosomal RNA", at positions 524 to 776 of the family's 1533-position model. The record is from RNAcentral.
CACGUAGGGGGCGAGCGUUGUCCGGAUUUAUUGGGCGUAAAGAGCUCGUAGGCGGUUUGGCAAGUCGGGUGUGAAAUUUCGAGGCUCAACCUCGAAACGCCACUCGAUACUGCCAUGACUGGAGUCCGGUAGAGGAGUGCGGAAUUCCUGGUGUAGCGGUGAAAUGCGCAGAUAUCAGGAGGAACACCAAUUGCGAAGGCAGCUCGCUGGGACGUUACUGACGCUGAGACGCGAAAGCGUGGGGAGCAAACAGG